UGCCACCCUUCUCAGUGCCACGGGGCCCUGCGGAAACCAGGGGUGCGGAUGCCGUUCGGAACGUGCGCCCCGAAAAAGCCACGCGGCGGAUACCUCUAGAGCUCCGGAGCCGACGCUGCUGAGCGACGGCCGGCCGGUGCCCGAGGGUGCCGCGGAACAGUGGAAAGAGAGUUAUGGUGUUAUGGUGAUCAGCCGCAUAAACUGCGCUCUAGACGGCCUUAAAGGGUGAAAAAACCUGUCUUCGUAGUUGCCAGUGAUGAUGGAGCAGUGUCUCACCGAUGGAGGAGUCGUGGGAUGGCUCGUAAACGUGCGGGCGCCAGGGACGCUUUGGAGGGACUAGGAAGAUGAAAUCAAAAGGAAAAAAGGAGAAAGAUCCCCCCUGCAAAUCCAGAUCCCCCCUGCAAAUCCAGAUCCCCCCUGCAAAUCCAUGCACCGGUUCAUCUGCUCGGCUGCUGCUGCUUGACAGAGAAAAAGCAGAAUUCGUACCGGCUCCCGAGACUCCCCGCUGAAGAACCCGGCCCUCCUCGCGACGCCCGAUGCGGCGGACGUCGGGGGAAAAGCCGAGCCUGGAGUGAAAAAGAGACGAAACUGCUUCCCGGUCUAAGGACGAGGCUGGAUGCCAACCCUGUUCCACAAAGUUCAAGGAGAAGCUGGAUGUCCUGUUUGAUCGCUUGUGACCAUUUGUACCACAGAUCUUCUCUGUUGUAUCCUGACCAGAGGCAGAAGUGAAUCCUCAGGUCUCCAGAGAAGUAACCCACAUUUCAUCGAUAAUUUUACCGACAAAUAUUAUCCACAUAUUUGUUACUAUGGCCUAAAGAAAUUACUCACGUGAGACGCUUACGGCCGAGGUCACGUGGGGUUCAAAGCAGAAGUAACUGCCUAGCGAAGAACAUGGAAACUCAUCAGCUGCAGAGACGAGCAGACGGCCCAAAGAGCAGAAGAGCGAGCACGCCGAUGUGAACCGUAUCGAGACCGCAGUUGACGGCUGAACACCUUUGAUCCCGCAUGACAGAGCGAUGAACUUUGGGUUUCGUGUGAAAGAGUAGGAAAAUCGAUAUUGUAAAGCCUCAUUUGUUAAAGCGUGGUGUGAACUGUGUCAAGAUUCAGAAACCUGCAUGAGAGAUAAAGUCCUUGAAGAUGAAGGUGAAUCAGAGAGAUCAGAGAUGUUAAGAGAGACACCGGGGUUUCUGAUAAGCCCCCGGAAGGGAUAAGGCGAGGCACGUACGACACGAGAGGUACGAAAGGCACGGAAGGCACGGUAGAAAAGUGACGCGACACACCCCGGGAUUGCUCUGUCCUGCGCACCUCAGCACUGUGAGCCAAAGUGAGGAAUUCCCUUGAGGUAGCCUAAGGGGCCACAGCUUGGACCGCCACAUCUCCAAAGCUGACUCGAAAAUCCUUGGGCACGAGUGCUUACCUGGCACACCGCUUUCAUGCCCCUCUGUGUAGGUCUUGGACUUCGACUUAGCUCUCAUAUGCGUGGGGACGAGAAGCCACGUGGGGCACAAGGGAAGGCCGCCUCACCGUCUGGCACGUUUCUGGCAGGCUGUUGUCUCUUGGACAGGUACAAUAAAGAAAACCAAAUAUCAGUGCAAGAUCUUAGCAGCACAUCUGUGAAAACCCAACACUCACGGUCUCCUGACAAUGGCUGGGUCCUUCGCCUGCAUGCUUCAGCCCCGCUGGGAUGCUGAGGCUUGCGGAGCGAAACUCUUCGACCGGUAUUGCUGUGGAUCCGAACGAACCGCCGCCUUGAUGAGAUUGAGGGCACUGAGGCGGGACUGCCAAGAUGGAAUCAAAAGGGAAAAGCAGAAAGAUCAGCCCUGCAAAUCCACACUGGCUCACCUGUUCAGCUGCUGUUUCCUGGCAAAAAGCUUUGUCCCUCACCACCUCCUCUGAGCAAUGCUCCGGGUCCAAGUGCAUCCUGGUGCUCCCCCAGACCCUAUGAGAUGCUCCCACCGUCAUGUUGGAGGCUGAGAUACAGAGUGUGUGCCCUUGUUUUUAAUAUUUAGUUCUAGGAUUCAAGGAAACACUGAAUUUCAUAUAAUAUGAAAUUCAUGUGCAUGUUUUCAUGGUGACACAUGAAAACAAAUGUUAAAGUUAGAUAGGAAAAGUGUAAAUGUGCUGAUUAGAAAGUUUCUUAAAUCACUGGGUGAAAAAGUAGUUUAGAGAACAGGAGACAAGAUGGAGGAUUUAGGGUGUUGUCUCUUGUCCUUCUUUCUUCUUCAUGUUCGUCUCCUAGGGGUGUUUGGGUAGUAGUAGGUAAUUGGGUAGAAAAUGUCACAGUGCAGCACACAGGUGUUGGGUCACUGGGUCACUAAGAAAAAUAAUUUAGUUGGCACCUGUUAAUUUGGUAAAUGGAUAUAUAAAAGACCUUGAGGAAGAUCUUUGUUAGCCAUUUUACCCCUUUUCUAUCAUA
Long non-coding RNA from Poecile atricapillus (Black-capped chickadee), 2416 nucleotides. RefSeq lists it as uncharacterized. The record is from RefSeq and is a predicted model, not a curated record. The transcript is spliced from 7 exons. NCBI's taxonomy places the organism in Eukaryota, Metazoa, Chordata, Aves, Passeriformes, Paridae.